This 72-nucleotide transfer RNA is filed under the name Bos taurus (domestic cattle). It matches the Rfam family "tRNA". From Rfam's summary of the family: Transfer RNA (tRNA) molecules are approximately 80 nucleotides in length. Their secondary structure includes four short double-helical elements and three loops (D, anti-codon, and T loops). Lineage: Eukaryota; Metazoa; Chordata; Mammalia; Artiodactyla; Bovidae. RNAcentral also lists the same sequence under 2 other names. The record is from Rfam by way of RNAcentral.
UCUCUGGUUGUUCAGUGGUUAGGACUCUGUGCUUUCACUGCGGUAGCCCGGGUUCAGUCCCUGGUCAGGGAA